AUCUAUGGCCAUGCUGCCCUGAACAAGCCCGAUCCCGUCUGAUCUUGGAAGCUAAGCAGGGUCAGGCCUAGUUAGUACUUGCAUGGGAGACCACCUGGGAAGACCAGGUGCUGUAGGCA
This 119-nucleotide ribosomal RNA is filed under the name Pteropus alecto (black flying fox). The record is from RNAcentral. Lineage: Eukaryota; Metazoa; Chordata; Mammalia; Chiroptera; Pteropodidae.